AGCUGAGUUUGAUCCUGGCUCAGGAUGAACGCUAGCGGCAGACCUAAUACAUGCAAGUCGAACGGUGAUAGCAAUAUCAUAGUGGCGCACGGGUGCGUAACACAUAUGCAACCUACCUAUUAUUGGGGGAUAGCCUUUGGAAACGGAGAUUAAUACCGCAUAAUACGAUUGACUGGCAUCGGUUGAUUGUUAAAGCUUUGGCGAUAAUAGAUGGGCAUGCGUCCAAUUAGUUAGUUGGUUAGGUAACGACUGACCAAGACGAUGAUUGGUAGGGGAUCUGAGAGGAUAACUCCCCCACACUGGGAACUGAGACACGGUCCAGACUCCUACGGGAGCAGCAGUGGGGAAUUUUGGACAAUGGGGCGCAAGCCUGAUCCCAGCAAUGCCGCGUGCAGGAUGAAGGCCUUCGGUUGUAAACUGCUUUGUAC
This 428-nucleotide ribosomal RNA is filed under the name uncultured Flectobacillus sp. RNAcentral's name for it is "bacterial SSU rRNA". It matches the Rfam family "Bacterial small subunit ribosomal RNA", at positions 1 to 440 of the family's 1533-position model. The record is from RNAcentral. Lineage: Bacteria; Pseudomonadati; Bacteroidota; Cytophagia; Cytophagales; Flectobacillaceae.